This 377-nucleotide ribosomal RNA is filed under the name uncultured bacterium. Its description in RNAcentral is "bacterial SSU rRNA". It matches the Rfam family "Bacterial small subunit ribosomal RNA", at positions 523 to 898 of the family's 1533-position model. The record is from RNAcentral.
AUACGUAGGGGGCAAGCGUUGUCCGGAAUCAUUGGGCGUAAAGCGCGUGUAGGCGGCUCGAUAAGUCUGCUGUGAAAGUCCAGGGCUCAACCCUGGGAUGCCGGUGGAUACUGUCGAGCUCGAGUCCGGAAGAGGCGAGUGGAAUUCCUGGUGUAGCGGUGAAAUGCGCAGAUAUCAGGAGGAACACCAAUGGCGAAGGCAGCUCGCUGGGACGUGACUGACGCUGAGACGCGAAAGCGUGGGGAGCAAACAGGAUUAGAUACCCUGGUAGUCCACGCCGUAAACGAUGGGCACUAGGUGUAGGGGGUGUCGACUCCCCCUGUGCCGAAGCUAACGCAUUAAGUGCCCCGCCUGGGGAGUACGGCCGCAAGGCUAAA